Molecule: ribosomal RNA, 506 nt
Filed under: uncultured bacterium
Lineage: Bacteria
Description: partial 16S ribosomal RNA
Rfam family: Bacterial small subunit ribosomal RNA
Source: RNAcentral
AUUGAACGCUGGCGGCAGGCUUAACACAUGCAAGUCGAGCGGUAACAGGGAGAAGCUUGCUUCUCUGCUGACGAGCGGCGGACGGGUGAGUAAUGCCUAGGAAUCUGCCUAGUAGUGGGGGAUAACUUGCCGAAAGGUAAGCUAAUACCGCAUACGUCCUACGGGAGAAAGGAGGGGACCUUCGGGCCUUUCGCUAUUAGAUGAGCCUAGGUCGGAUUAGUUAGUUGGUGAGGUAAUGGCUCACCAAGACCGCGAUCCGUAACUGGUCUGAGAGGAUGAUCAGUCACACUGGAACUGAGACACGGUCCAGACUCCUACGGGAGGCAGCAGUGGGGAAUAUUGGACAAUGGGGGGGACCCUGAUCCAGCCAUGCCGCGUGUGUGAAGAAGGUCUUAGGAUUGUAAAGCACUUUAAGUUGGGAGGAAGAGCAGUUAACUAAUAUUUGACUGUUUUGACGUUACCGACAGAAUAAGCACCGGCUAACUUCGUGCCAGCCGCCGCGGUAA